This 584-nucleotide unclassified non-coding RNA is filed under the name Macrophomina phaseolina. RNAcentral's name for it is "sequence contains 18S rRNA gene, ITS1, 5.8S rRNA gene, ITS2, 28S rRNA gene". The stretch from base 226 to 379 matches the Rfam family "5.8S ribosomal RNA". The record is from RNAcentral. Lineage: Eukaryota; Fungi; Ascomycota; Dothideomycetes; Botryosphaeriales; Botryosphaeriaceae.
UCGUAACAAGGUUUCCGUAGGUGAACCUGCGGAAGGAUCAUUACCGAGUUGAUUCGGGCUCCGUCCCGAUCCUCCCACCCUUUGUAUACCUACCUCUGUUGCUUUGGCGGGCCGCGGUCUUCCGCGGCCGCCCCCCGAUUUUGGGGGGUGGCUAGUGCCCGCCAGAGGACUAUCAAACUCCAGUCAGUAAACGUUGCAGUCUGAAAAAAAUAUUAAAUAAACUAAAACUUUCAACAACGGAUCUCUUGGUUCUGGCAUCGAUGAAGAACGCAGCGAAAUGCGAUAAGUAAUGUGAAUUGCAGAAUUCAGUGAAUCAUCGAAUCUUUGAACGCACAUUGCGCCCCUUGGUAUUCCGGGGGGCAUGCCUGUUCGAGCGUCAUUUCAACCCUCAAGCUCUGCUUGGUAUUGGGCACCGUCCUUUGCGGGCGCGCCUCAAAGACCUCGGCGGUGGCGUCUUGCCUCAAGCGUAGUAGAAUACACCUCGCUUCGGAGCGUAAGGCGUCGCCCGCCGGACGAACCUUCUGAACUUUUCUCAAGGUUGACCUCGGAUCAGGUAGGGAUACCCGCUGAACUUAAGCAUAUCA